Molecule: long non-coding RNA, 1897 nt
Organism: Equus caballus (horse)
Lineage: Eukaryota; Metazoa; Chordata; Mammalia; Perissodactyla; Equidae
Source: Ensembl
GGGGGAUGGAGCAGGGCCAAGGGUUCAACUGCCACACUCUCUGUACCUGGUUUCCUGGGGUGAGCCUGCUGUAUGGGCUUCCACACCCCAUUGUUUCCUCUUUACAAGGGAUUCAUGGCCGCACUUCUUCCCUCCUCUGCCUCAUUUUUAAGCCCCACUUCCCUUGAUCAAUGAGGAGUGGGACUUCCUAUUGGAAGUCAGGAUUUGGGGUCCACUCUCAGCUUCAUGGCCUGCUUUUGGUGUCCCGUUAUAAUCAUUUAUUCAGUCCACAAAUGUCCACUGAGCGCCUACUGUAUGCUACUCUGAGUUUUCAGAUCCUAGUUGUUCCGUAUAGAGGGCAUCACCCAGGAGCCUUCCAAAGGAAAUGAGUUUUGUCCAAAAGCUAGCUUCCAGACUCUCUCUGCCCCCAACUGUGUGGCCUGUGUGUCCCCUCUCUGGCCUUCUGCUUUCUUUUUUUUUGUUUUGUUUUGUUUUCCCUAGGAAGAUUAGCCCUGAGCUAACUACCGCCAGUCCUCCUCUUUUUUGCUGAGGAAGACUGGCCCUGAGCCAACACCCGUGCCCAUCUUCCUCUACUUUGUAUGUGGGACACCUACCACAGCAUGGCAUGCCAAGCGGUGCCAUGUCUGCACCCGGGAUCCAAACCCGCGAAUCCCGGGCCACCAAGAAGGGGAACGUGCGCACUUAACCGCUGCGCCACCGGGCCAGCCCCAUGGCUUCUGCUUUCUUAUCUGCAAAGCUGGGCGCUGGGGAAAAUGAGACUUCCAACUAAUAGAUGGAGAAGGAGAGAAGAAAUCGAAAAUCCCUACUUGCCAAGUACCACCAUAAUAAUUGUUUUAAGCAGAGAUCACCAAGAAAUGCUAACAAGUGUCAACUAGUGAUUCGCAAUCCUGGAUGAACUUCAGAAUCACCUGGAGCUUUGAAAUAUUCCAAUGCCUGGGCCUCAUCCCCAGAGAUUUUGAUUUCACGGCUCAGGCACUGAGAAGAAUGUUAUGUGUGGCACUCAACUGGAAAAGCCAUCAAAACUGGGGUACACGGCCACUCAACAUAAAGAUGCACUUCUCUUUGCAAUGGGGACGUUGAUAUUACUUUGUUCUGACCAAUGGGAUGGACGUUGAAGUGUCAGGUAGUACUUUCACAGUAAUCCUUUUAAAGAGAGAGUUGACAUGCACCCCUUGCCUCUUUUCUUCACCCUCUCCUCCGCCUUGCUGCUGAGAACGUGGAUAACAUCAUCUUGGGCCAUGAGCAUGAAGACUGCUCGCUCCGAGCUCAGAGCAGUGAGCUGCAAGGAGCUCGAUCUCUGAGGACUGUGGAUCAGAGCGACCGUGCCACGUCACUUAUGCACUGUACAUGAGAGGGAGAAAUCAACUUUGCAUGUUGUUUAAGCUAUUUUCGCCUCUACUUUCUCAUGUUUGCUCCAUUUAUUCAAGAUAGACAAGGACUAUGAAUAUGUGUGUGUGUGUGUGUGUUUGCUAAUGUUAAAUAUAUGGUAGGAUAAACCAUUAAAUUUAAAAAAUGUAGUUACCAAAAAGGAGCUGGAAGGAUUAGGGUGGAUGGAACAGGAAUAAAAUCUAGAGUUACGUGAAUAUAUUUUGUUGUGUAGAUGUACCAUUGAAACCAUGUAAAUAUUUUAUAUGCUUAUAAACAUAAAUUAAAAUAUCAAUCACUUAAGAUAACAAACAAAUGAAAAUAAAUGUUAUAUGUUGAGUUAGUGGCAUAACCAAACAGGAAAGGACUAUUUCAAAUGACUUCAUAACAUAGCAAUUUGUCUGUGGAUCUCCAGUGUGAUAUACUUUAACAACAAAAAGAAUUGAAAAAAAUCUCUUAAAAUAUAUUCAAUAAUCAUACUAUUGUUGGUAGUGUUGGUAUUGCUAUAGAUGCAGUUGCAUGUAAUUGUGGG